AAAAAUAAAAUAGCUUAAAAAGUAAUAAAAUGCCUGUUAUGAAUUCUAAUACUGUUAUGCUGUUAUGCGCUUAUACAUGCUAUAUGUCAGGUCAUAAGUUUCGUAGAAAGCAUUAUACAUCAUCAAUACACCAAUUUGAUUUGUGAUGAGAUUUGUGCAAAUGUGAUUAGGAGAUAAUGUUCAUAUGACAAUGUUAACAUAUACUAUAUAUGAUAUAGGAUCCUUAUUGUGAAUUUUGUAUUGCACCAUCAAUUGAAAUUUGGUUUA
RNAcentral lists this long non-coding RNA (267 nucleotides) under Mytilus galloprovincialis (Mediterranean mussel). The record is from RNAcentral. Lineage: Eukaryota; Metazoa; Mollusca; Bivalvia; Mytilida; Mytilidae.